RNAcentral lists this ribosomal RNA (496 nucleotides) under uncultured bacterium. Its description in RNAcentral is "partial 16S ribosomal RNA". It matches the Rfam family "Bacterial small subunit ribosomal RNA", at positions 28 to 507 of the family's 1533-position model. The record is from RNAcentral.
GAUGAACGCUGGCGGCGUGCCUAAUACAUGCAAGUCGAGCGAACAGACGAGGAGCUUGCUCCUCUGACGUUAGCGGCGGACGGGUGAAUAACACGUGGAUAACCUACCUAUAAGACUGGGAUAACUUCGGGAAACCGGAGCUAAUACCGGAUAAUAUAUUGAACCGCAUGGUUCAAUAGUGAAAGACGGUUUUGCUGUCACUUAUAGAUGGAUCCGCGCCGCAUUAGCUAGUUGGAAGGUAACGGCUUACCAAGGCAACGAUGCGUAGCCGACCUGAGAGGGUGAUCGGCCACACUGGAACUGAGACACGGUCCAGACUCCUACGGGAGGCAGCAGUAGGGAAUCUUCCGCAAUGGGCGAAAGCCUGACGGAGCAACGCCGCGUGAGUGAUGAAGGUCUUCGGAUCGUAAAACUCUGUUAUUAGGGAAGAACAAAUGUGUAAGUAACUAUGCACGUCUUGACGGUACCUAAUCAGAAAGCCACGGCUAACUACGUG